RNAcentral lists this ribosomal RNA (448 nucleotides) under uncultured bacterium. Its description in RNAcentral is "bacterial SSU rRNA". It matches the Rfam family "Bacterial small subunit ribosomal RNA", at positions 28 to 523 of the family's 1533-position model. The record is from RNAcentral.
GACGAACGCUGGCGGCAGGCCUAACACAUGCAAGUCGAGCGCACCCUUCGGGGCGAGCGGCGGACGGGUUAGUAACGCGUGGGAACAUACCCUUUUCUACGGAAUAGCCUCGGGAAACUGAGAGUAAUACCGUAUACGCCCUUCGGGGAAGAUUAUCGAGAAGGAUUGGCCGCGUUAGAUUAGAUAGUUGGUGGGGUAACGGGCCUACCAAGUCUACGAUCUAUAGCUGGUUUUAGUAGGAUGAUCAGCAACACUGGGACUGAGACACGGCCCAGACUCCUACGGGAGGCAGCAGUGGGGAAGUCUUAGACAAUGGGCGGCAAGCCUGAUCUAGCCAUGCCGCGUGUGUGAUGAAGGCCUUAGGGUCGUAAAGCACUUUCGCCAGGGAUGAUAAUGACAGUACCUGGUAAAGAAACCCCGGCUAACUCCGUGCCAGCAGCCGCGGUAA